GAAGAAUUUCUUGCCGUGCAUCUGUUAACCUCUCUCUGUUUAUGAAGAAACCUCAAUCUUAGAAACAACUUCCCCCUUUCUCGAUUUUCUCAUCCCCAGAUUAUGUGGGAUUUAGUUUGUUCCUGUUUUAGAUCAACCUUGACAUGCUUUUUGGAUGUUUAUGUUAAUUUGCUGGGUAAAGCUUUAAUCUGAGUGAUUUAUUUUGUUGUUUUGUAGUUUCUUAAGAGCUUUUGGAAAGUGCUUUUAAAAUAAGCUGCUUUUGUUCUCUGCAUAUUACAACUUUGAAGUGACUUGAUGAAGGUGGCUUGUAUGAAAUGCCAAACUUGGAGGCGCCAGCUUUUGGUCACCAACAACACUUUUUUUUAUUUAAUUAGAAAAUGUAAUUAUUUAAGGUUUUCUUUUAAUACAAAUGUGUAUAUUUGGAUUUAUCUGUAACUUAU
RNAcentral lists this long non-coding RNA (440 nucleotides) under Lathyrus oleraceus (garden pea). RNAcentral's name for it is "Pisum sativum (pea) long non-coding RNA (PSAT_LNC040680)". Lineage: Eukaryota; Viridiplantae; Streptophyta; Magnoliopsida; Fabales; Fabaceae. The record is from RNAcentral.